Molecule: long non-coding RNA, 403 nt
Organism: Gopherus flavomarginatus (Mexican gopher tortoise)
Lineage: Eukaryota; Metazoa; Chordata; Testudines; Testudinidae
Exons: 3
Source: RefSeq, a predicted model, not a curated record
CCAUCCUCCAGCACCUCACCCAACCCAGCCCUGACGGAGGGGAGAGAGGAGAGAGAGAGGGGUGCUCCUGGGGAGGAGGGAGAAAGGAGGGGGUGCUCCGUGGGGCAGGGGGGAGAAGAAUGGAUGUUAUGGGGGUCAAUAAAGGAUACUGGUUCCAGAGCCGCAGAGCCUGCCUCACCUGACCUCAGCCGGGGGGAAAGAGUCACACUCACAGAUUCACUGACUGGAAAAAGCAUGACUGAAUGGAAUAAAAGCCCUCAUAAACAGAACUGCAAGAAGGUAAUAAAAGAAAUUGAAAAUCGGUUAGAACUUCAGCAAAUUAAGGAAUAUUUUUGAAGACUAACUCGCUGCUGUUCAGCGGGCCAGUGUGAGGACUGAGCAACACAUAAGCCCCCCAACAGAC